AACGAACGCUGGCGGCAUGCCUAACACAUGCAAGUCGAACGAGACCUUCGGGUUUAGUGGCGCACGGGUGCGUAACGCGUGGGAACCUGCCCUUAGGUUCGGAGUCACUCACUGAAGGGGGUGCUAAUACCGGAUAAUGUCUUCGGGCCAAAGAUGUCUCGCUUUUGGGUGGGCGCGGGUUGGAUUCGGGGGUUGGUAGGGUAUAAGCCUAGCAAGGGGACGUUCCUUGGCUGGUGUGAGAGGAUGAUCUGGAACGCUUGGACUGAGACACGGCCCAGUAUCCUACGGGACACAGCAGUAGGGAGUAUAGUACAAGGGGCGAAGGCCUGAUCCAGCCACGCGGCGGAAGUGAGGAAGGCCGUAGGGUUGUAAAGCUCUCUGACCCGGAAUGAUAAUGACAGUACCGGGAGAAUAAGCGCCGGCUAACUCCGUG
RNAcentral lists this ribosomal RNA (433 nucleotides) under uncultured bacterium. RNAcentral describes it as "partial 16S ribosomal RNA". It matches the Rfam family "Bacterial small subunit ribosomal RNA", at positions 29 to 507 of the family's 1533-position model. The record is from RNAcentral.